Long non-coding RNA from Microtus oregoni (creeping vole), 255 nucleotides. RefSeq lists it as uncharacterized. The transcript has 3 exons. NCBI's taxonomy places the organism in Eukaryota, Metazoa, Chordata, Mammalia, Rodentia, Cricetidae. The record is from RefSeq and is a predicted model, not a curated record.
CGGCAUUGGCUCACAGAACCGUGUUCUGCCUACAGCACGGCCUGGCACGAAGAGGAAACUGCAUGCUGGGGUAUCUCACAGAGGCCACGGAGAGAAGAGCUCUGAGUAAACUCGCGCCUUUCCUCGAGACCUCGGCAAUAGGAUCCUUCUCUCUCUGUGUCAUUGUCUAGCUGAAACGAAAACCCCUGUGGUGAAGACAGGGCAGCUCAGGAUACAGCAGAGAGUCUGCGUAAAGAAACAACAAGCUGAAUUGUU